RNAcentral lists this ribosomal RNA (520 nucleotides) under uncultured Glomus. Its description in RNAcentral is "SSU rRNA". It matches the Rfam family "Eukaryotic small subunit ribosomal RNA", at positions 569 to 1090 of the family's 1831-position model. The record is from RNAcentral. Lineage: Eukaryota; Fungi; Glomeromycota; Glomeromycetes; Glomerales; Glomeraceae.
AGCAGCCGCGGUAAUUCCAGCUCCAAUAGCGUAUAUUAAAGUUGUUGCAGUUAAAAAGCUCGUAGUUGAAUUUCGGGAUUAGUACGUUGGUCGUGCCUUAGGUACGUACUGGUGUUACUGGUUCCUACCUUCUGACGAACCAUCAUGUCAUUAAUUUGGUGUGGCGGGGAAUCAGGACUGUUACUUUGAAAAAAUUAGAGUGUUUAAAGCAGGCUCGCGCUUGAAUACAUUAGCAUGGAAUAAUGAAAUAGGACGUUGACCCUAUUUUGUUGGUUUCUAGGAUUGACGUAAUGAUUAAUAGGGAUAGUUGGGGGCAUUAGUAUUCAAUUGUCAGAGGUGAAAUUCUUGGAUUUAUUGAAGACUAACUACUGCGAAAGCAUUUGCCAAGGAUGUUUUCAUUAAUCAAGAACGAAAGUUAGGGGAUCGAAGACGAUCAGAUACCGUCGUAGUCUUAACCAUAAACUAUGCCGACUAGGGAUCGGAUGAUGUUAAUUUUAAUUAGACUCUAUCGGUCGCCGUA